ACUCAAAGGAAUAGACGGGAGCCCGCACAAGCGGUGGAGCAUGUGGUUCAAUUCGACACUAAGCGAGGAACCUUACCAGGGCUUGACAUCCCGGGAAUCCGCCAGAAACGGCGGAGUGCCGCAAGGAACCCGGUGACAGGUGCUGCAUGGCUGUCGUCAGCUCGUGUCGUGAGAUGUCAGGUUAAGUCCUUCAACGAGCGCAACCCCCGUGUCGUGUUACAAUAUUCACGACAAACUGCCCACUUUAAGUGGGAGGAAGGAGGGGAUGACGUCAAGUCAGCAUGGUCCUCUGACGCCCUGGGCUACACACGUGCUACAAUGGCCGGGACAAUGGGUCGCGAAGUCGCAAGACGAAGCUAAUCCCACCAAACCCGGUCCCAGUUCGGAUUGGGGGCUGCAACCCGCCCCCAUGAAGCCGGAAUCGCUAGUAACCGCGCAUCAGCCACGGUGCGGUGAAUACGUUCUCGGGCUUUGUACACACCGCCCGU
RNAcentral lists this ribosomal RNA (488 nucleotides) under uncultured bacterium. Its description in RNAcentral is "partial 16S ribosomal RNA". It matches the Rfam family "Bacterial small subunit ribosomal RNA", at positions 899 to 1397 of the family's 1533-position model. The record is from RNAcentral.